Molecule: ribosomal RNA, 413 nt
Filed under: bacterium Ellin6110
Lineage: Bacteria; Pseudomonadati; Bacteroidota; Cytophagia; Cytophagales; Cytophagaceae
Description: bacterial SSU rRNA
Rfam family: Bacterial small subunit ribosomal RNA
Source: RNAcentral
CAGCAAUGCCAUAGUGGCGCACGGGUGCGUAACACGUAACUAACCUACCYAUAACUGGGGGAUAGCCCGCCGAAAGGCGGAUUAAUACCGCAUAAGCUCUUGAGCUGGCAUCASCUKAUUAGUAAAGAUUUAUUGGUUAUAGAUGGGGUUGCGGGUCAUUAGCUAGUUGGUUGGGUAACGGCUGACCAAGGCGACGAUGACUAGGGGAGCUGAGAGGCUGGUCCCCCACACGGGCACUGAGAUACGGGCCCGACUCCUACGGGAGGCAGCAGUAGGGAAUAUUGGGCAAUGGGCGAGAGCCUGACCCAACCAUGCCGCGUGCAGGAAGAAGGCUUUCUGAGUCGUAAACUGCUUUUGACAGGGAAGAAUAGAGGAGUAACGUGUACUCUGAUGACCUUGCAUGCAGAAUCAUC